This is a long non-coding RNA of Panicum virgatum (switchgrass), 2225 nucleotides long. RefSeq lists it as uncharacterized. The record is from RefSeq and is a predicted model, not a curated record. Lineage: Eukaryota; Viridiplantae; Streptophyta; Magnoliopsida; Poales; Poaceae. The transcript is spliced from 3 exons.
UCUGAUGAUGUGGAGCUUUUUUGUGUUUUGAAUUGGUCGAUCCUGGAGGGAAGGGCAGAGAAUGAGAUGGAUAUUCCUGCAGGUUGACCAAUCCAGCAGAAUCACAAGAUGGAAGUUUAGUGGAGAUUAUUCAUGGAAAAGAAGAAAAGAAACAGCACAGAGGGAUGGAUGGUGGCGGUUCAUUAGUAUCGAUGGAAGAAAAUCAGAAAGGAGGUGAUGCGGAUGAAGGUACUUUUUUGACGGUAUUAUCGGGUACAUACCUUGUCAAGUUUGAUUGUAUGGAUGGAAAUUUCCAAUGGGAUGAUUUGCUUACGAUCUAUGGUUGCAACUAGCUGUUAUUAUUUGUAGUUUCCCAACAUCAGAUUGUAUGUUUACAUCAUAUUUAUUGUAUAUUGAUUCUCAGUUCAAGCUGCUAAUUCAUAUUUCUUUGAAUCUGGUAGACAAUUGUUAAUAUUUCUUUGAGAAUCCUUGGACAAUUUGAUAGCUUGUCUUGAUUCAUACGGGCAGAAAUAUUUCAGACAAGAGCUUCAGUUUCUUAUUUUGCUAAGAGGUCAUGGAAAUAUUUGAUGUUUAGAAAUUUGGAUUGGUCUAGACUUUCUUGAAUGCUGACUAUGUUAUAGUGGACCUAUUUGUAAAAAAAAAGAAAAUCUGAAAUAAUUAAGUUGGUGUAACCUGAAUGUAAUUGACCUUACCAUUCGCUAGGUUGCAUGGUGUAAAGUACGGUGAUUGAUCUCAAGUCAAGGUGUCAUGGUGUAAAAUAUGGUGAUUGAAUCUCAACUCCUCAACACCAUGAAUGAUUAUCCUCAUAAUCAUUCUAUGUUAUUGGCAAUGAUGCUUUGCUUUGCUUUGCUUUUGGAUAUCCUUAUAAUCACACGGCAGUGGGACAAGUCCCUCUACAGUUACUGCAAAGGAACUGCUUCUGUAUCGAUCUAUGUGCUGCUUGUUUUGCCUACUCUAUGGCACACAGUAUUGUGAGUUUCUAAUGUGUAAUCCAUUGAUGUCUUGAAGUCAUUUGGGAGCAGAGGACUUACUAUUGAACACCUUGAUGGUGGGGUAGUUCCUACACCUGAUGGACGCUUCACGCCCACUCUGUUAAUGUGCAGCUGCCUUGAAAGAAGAUUCUGGUGAGAUAAGUGACUGUGCCUUGCUGUGAGGAUCCUCUGCGAUACUUCAGAGUGCAGUGACGUGUGGCUCCAGUCCCACAUGUCAGUGACCAUGCACUAUUGUAGAGGAUACACUUCCGUGCCUUGAAGACCUCAUCGUCAUGAAACCAUACCAUACCAUAACUUAUGCAAGGUCGGCCUGCAGUACCCAAGCGGCGGCGAUGAACUCAUCCGUGAGGGCAUCAAAUGAUGUGUCAUCCUGAUGCAAUUCGAGCCGGGGUAGGAGCCUGUGUGCGCCGAUCGGGCGGUGGAUAGCGGUGUCGCAUGGGCACGGUGGUGAGCCCUCAGUCGCCAGUCGCGAUAUGGAUGCUGGUGUCGCAGGUCUGGCAGGAGGAUGGAAGUGAGGAGCCCGCCUUGUGUGUAGGGGUGGUGUGCUCCCACCCCUUCUCAUGCUUCCGUGCUCCCACCUUAAAAAAAUGAAAAAUUACAUGAAAAAAUCAACCUAAAUGCUGAUUCUUGCGCAAUAGUGAGUGAUAACCAAAACAAGUCUCAACCUUCUGCCCAGCCCUUAUGCAAUUCAGGAUCUACACAGAAGUUUUCUUCACUCAUUUCAGAAACGUCAGAUGUUCAAGGAACUAACUCCAUGGCUAGUCUAUUGCUUGAAAAAGAACCAACACUAACUAAUUCACUUGGACUCUUGGAGGGCCACAUUUCCUGGCAAGUCCACUGCUAGAGAAGACUACAUUGCAUUGUGUUCAAACUGAUCUUGACAAGCUUAUGUCAAAGUAUACAGAUGAUGGUGCUGGAUCCGAAUUAAAACGGGCUGAAUUAAAAUGGCCAGACUGUCCCAACUGUCCCAACUACUACUCUUCGCGAUUCAUGUUUUAAAUGGGCUAUUUUCAUAUAUAGCGAGCGGCUGACGCCCAUAAUCUCCAACUUUCCCCAUCAAGACUAGCCUAAAAAAUCUUUACGGCCUAGUUUGUAAAAUCAAAACCCCCUUAGAGCAUCUCCAAGAGCUCUUGUAUUUUGUUAUCUAAAUAUGGAGAUUAUACCCUUUUGUAAAAUAGGAACUACAUAAUUUUAUAGAGCUAGUCCAAGAGACUAGCUAAAAUGUGAUGGUUA